This 253-nucleotide ribosomal RNA is filed under the name uncultured bacterium. Its description in RNAcentral is "partial 16S ribosomal RNA". It matches the Rfam family "Bacterial small subunit ribosomal RNA", at positions 524 to 776 of the family's 1533-position model. The record is from RNAcentral.
UACGUAGGGUGCAAGCGUUGUCCGGAAUUAUUGGGCGUAAAGAGCUCGUAGGCGGCUCGUCGCGUCGACCGUGAAAACCCGCGGCUUAACUGCGGGCUUGCGGUUGAUACGGGCGGGCUAGAGUUCGGUAGGGGAGACUGGAAUUCCUGGUGUAGCGGUGAAAUGCGCAGAUAUCAGGAGGAACACCGAUGGCGAAGGCAGGUCUCUGGGCCGAUACUGACGCUGAGGAGCGAAAGCGUGGGGAGCGAACAGG